Olea europaea var. sylvestris is the source of this 1283-nucleotide long non-coding RNA. RefSeq lists it as uncharacterized. Lineage: Eukaryota; Viridiplantae; Streptophyta; Magnoliopsida; Lamiales; Oleaceae. The transcript is spliced from 3 exons. The record is from RefSeq and is a predicted model, not a curated record.
CAAGCAAAUGAACCAAAAAGCGGAAAACACCCCUAAAUUCCUCUUCCUCCAAAACCUUGUGUGAGAGAAGCAUGAGAGAACGACCACCUUUUUCCUCAACAAUCGACCACCACCCGCCACCUAGACCACCAGACUCCAUUACCAUUCGAAUCCCCUCGCUUUCCUCUUUAACCUCUUGUCAUCACCUGGCCAUAGAGUUGUCGAAAACAGUCCCAAUCACUUGCCAAAAUCGCACUAACAGUCACCACUUUCGCCAUAUUUCCACUGCUGUCGACCACCGUUUCGAUCGCGGACCAUCACCACUCCACUCCUCUAAACUAGGCGCAUCCAGUACCACCAUGGGUCACCUGCAAUUUUGUCCAGAAUUGAGCGUGCUUUCAUAAGCACACUCGAUUCUGGACAAAAUUGCAGUUCUGUGAGUUGCCUGUCCUCUAAAUUAAUUUUGGUUUAUUGUUUCACAGAUCACAAAUUUCGAAAACAAACCCAGGUAGGUAUGUAAUUUCUGUCCAAACACAGGUUGAUGUGAGAAAGGUAACUUGUACCAGAAUUAUUUACUCAUGAAUUAAAUUCAAUCAAUCACAUUAUUUUUAGCUUUAGGGUGUGGAAAGAAAGGAAGAGAAUUAUUGGCCAUUUGCAUUCAAUUUGGGAUCGUAGGGGAGGAGCAAACGAAUCGAUAGGUAUAUAGAGAAAUGGGUUGCUCGUUCUUGGGACUGAAUGCCCUUUACGACGCCGUUAAUGGUGGAGGGGAUGUUUGGAUCAAUGAGAAUCGGUUCAGGAUCUUGAGGCAGCUGGGAGAGGGUGGAUUUGCAUAUGUUUUCCUUGUCAAGGAGGUUAUAUUUGAUUCAUCCAACUCUGGAAUUUCUAUGAGAAUCAAGGACUCUUUUCAUCACUCUGAAUGGGUGCUCCUAAGCAGAAGUGGACAUCGGAAAAGAAGCGGCUCUUAAAGUUGGCAUUGCCAAGUAUGGGGUAGCAAAAGGAGUACUAUACUAAAAGAUCCUGAAUUUAGCACAGUUUUGCGAUCACGUUCAAAUGUGGAUCUUUAGGAUAUAUUGAGAAAUUUGAAUUGCAUGGCAAAUGUUUUGGGGUCUCGACAUAGGGCAAAGGUUUCAUAUAAAAGCAAUCAAGUGAAAUUGGGAGUUUAUUACAGAAUUGGAACCAAAAGUUGGUGUCAUUGAGUUUGCCUCAUGGAAGAUUUUCUGGUGAUUUGAUUAGUACAAUCCGCAAUUACACUCUAUUGACAUAGCUCUAUUGGAACUUUAUGAUUCGAAGCUUUAGACGAAACG